Xenia sp. Carnegie-2017 is the source of this 647-nucleotide long non-coding RNA. RefSeq lists it as uncharacterized. NCBI's taxonomy places the organism in Eukaryota, Metazoa, Cnidaria, Anthozoa, Malacalcyonacea, Xeniidae. The record is from RefSeq and is a predicted model, not a curated record. The transcript has 2 exons.
UGAGAGGGCCUUGGCCAAUGCUCAAUUGAUUAGACGAGUUCAACACAAUCAAGAUAAGUUAAGAAAAUUUUUGAACUUAGACAGCUAAGACGGCCGUUUCCAAAAGAAGUUAUCGUUUUGCUCGCAAGGCAAUCGGCGAGGCAAUGUAUACGAUAAAAAAACUGCAGGAUACAAGGAAAGGCGUUUAAAAGAAGUGUAAUGACGUCAGGAAGAAGCUUUCUUGUUGAUUUAAGGAGAAAAAUUGGUUAAUCUGCUUUCGAAGAAGUGUUAGCCAUGCAUGUUUGCCAUUGAUGACAUAUAAAGCAUGUACGACGGAAUUUAGGGCACGAAGAAUAUUUCCACCGCCAUUGAAUAUGCUGCGAGCAGAAACUGUGGAUUAUAUCAAAAGGAGGAAAAUUGAAAGCCACUCCAGGUAUGACUGUUACAGUCGUAGUGUCUGUGACAGGAAGAAGUUCUGGUUCAGUAGCAAAGGUGUCUGUACCAUUGCUGGUUGUUUAAUGAUUCAACGAAUGAGAAUUUAUUGUAAUUGUUAAUAUAACCAUCUAGUUAGCAGCAAAAAUCUUGCAUUAUGGCUGAGGGAAAUCGUGUUUUGUUAUAUGAUAGUAAGAAAUAAUUGGAUAUAGUAGUAAAUUAGUAAUAAAUACAAA